Molecule: long non-coding RNA, 215 nt
Filed under: Elaeis guineensis (African oil palm)
Lineage: Eukaryota; Viridiplantae; Streptophyta; Magnoliopsida; Arecales; Arecaceae
Description: long non-coding RNA (EGUI_LNC072975)
Source: RNAcentral
ACACAUCAAAUUCCAUAACGAAAGGCAUUAAUGAUGCUUGGAACAAGUCAACUAUUAAUAACAAUGUAGAAGAAGUUAUGGAAGCACUAGAAGUUGUGCUAGAAUAGGACUAAAAAUCAAACACAAAUCUUUCAAUAUUACAAAAACAACAUACAACCUCUUAACUCUUGCAAGGUUAUUUAAAAGGACAUAAAGAGACAUUUAGCUCACAAGUG